This 179-nucleotide non-coding RNA is filed under the name marine eukaryotic metagenome. The record is from RNAcentral.
GUUUGUAGGUGCCCUAUGAGGGAUAAACGGGAAAAUGGUGAGUAAUAACAAAGCCAUUGCUGCCCCCGCAACGGUAAAUGAGUUAAUCAUGAUCAAAGUGCCACUGUUUAAAUCAUGGGAAGGCGAUUAAUGAUAGAUUAUUCUAGCUCAUAAGCCCGUAUACCGGCCUGUAAUUUAUU